Molecule: long non-coding RNA, 294 nt
Filed under: Amphimedon queenslandica
Lineage: Eukaryota; Metazoa; Porifera; Demospongiae; Haplosclerida; Niphatidae
Description: uncharacterized LOC109588348
Source: RNAcentral
CUGACUCCUCCCCUUUUAGGCGACAGUCCUUUCAUCUCAUCGUUGGUUUAUUUCAAGACAUGAUGUGUUGGAGUUAAAUAUUAGCAAUAAUGGAAAGACUAAUAAACCAUUGUCUAUAGCAUUGUUCCUCUUCUCUGACAGCAUUGAGAUUGCUAAGAUAAGAAGUGGUCAUGGUUUUGUUGCUAUGAAGGACUCAUACAAACCAUACAGACACUUGGAAUUCCUCACAUAUUCUAAUAUUAGAUCAGUCAUUGAUUUCACUGACAGUGAAGAUGUUGUUAAUGGUUUUGGUCU